RNAcentral lists this ribosomal RNA (246 nucleotides) under uncultured bacterium. RNAcentral describes it as "partial 16S ribosomal RNA". It matches the Rfam family "Bacterial small subunit ribosomal RNA", at positions 523 to 769 of the family's 1533-position model. The record is from RNAcentral.
AUACGUAGGGGGCUAGCGUUAUCCGGAUUUACUGGGCGUAAAGGGUGCGUAGGUGGUCUCUUAAGUCAGGAGUGAAAGGCUACGGCUUAACCGUAGUAAGCUCUUGAAACUGGGAAACUUGAGUGCAGGAGAGGAAAGUGGAAUUCCUAGUGCAGCGGUGAAAUGCGUAGAUAUUAGGAGGAACACCAGUAGCGAAGGCGGCUUUCUGGACUGUAACUGACACUGAGGCACGAAAGCGUGGGGAGC